AUGUGAUCGUCUCUCGCAUAUCAAUAAGCGGAGGAAAAGAAACUAACAAGGAUUCCCUUAGUAACGGCGAGUGAAGCGGGAAGAGCUCAAAUUCGAAAUCUUCAAGGGUUUACCUUUACGAAUUGUAGUUUAAAGAAGUGUUUUCUGUUGAGGUUUUGGUAAAAGUUCUUUGGAAUAGGACAUCAUAGAGGGUGAGAAUCCCGUAUUUGACCUUUACUUUCAACUUUGUGAUACACUUUCAAAGAGUCGGAUUGUUUGGGAAUGCAGUCCUAAAUGGGUGGUAAAUUUCAUCUAAAGCUAAAUAUUGGCGAGAGACCGAUAGCGAACAAGUACCGUGAGGGAAAGAUGAAAAGAACUUUGAAAAGAGAGUUAAACAGUACGUGAAAUUGUCAAAAGGGAAGCGUUUGACACCAGUGUUGUUUUUCUGAAAAUCAAUUAAAGAACUGUUUAUGCUAAGUUGUUUAGACUUUAUCAGCUAUCUGUUUAGUUUUGAGCUUUUCUUUAAUGCACUUUUCAGUUAACAAGUCAACAUCAAUUUCUUUUGCUGUAAAAAAGCUUGAGGAAGGUGGCUUGAGAUUCGUCUUAAGUGUUUAUAGCCUCUUGCCUAUGCAGUCGGAGAGAUUGAGGUCUGCAGCGUAGAUCCUUCGGGGCUAAAUGCAUUUGUGCUAAGUUAUAACAUUUUAUAGACAACUUGUUGACUAUGAUUUGUCUUGUAGCUUACUCGCUUAUGUUAUUUUACCUACGCUUAGGAUGUUGAAGUCAUCGUAUCGCGC
This 773-nucleotide ribosomal RNA is filed under the name uncultured Neocallimastigales. Its description in RNAcentral is "partial large subunit ribosomal RNA". It matches the Rfam family "Eukaryotic large subunit ribosomal RNA", at positions 24 to 645 of the family's 3401-position model. The record is from RNAcentral. Lineage: Eukaryota; Fungi; Neocallimastigomycota; Neocallimastigomycetes; Neocallimastigales.